GCUACACGCUCAACACGCUCGUCUUACGUUGACAAAUCGCUCGUCGCACCCCAAUGACACGUUUGCACAUGCUAAUGGUUUUUAGGGGUAUCUUAUUUGGUCGCUGUUACACGUUUUUUGUGCGUUAGACACGCUUUUUGCGCGUUAGACACACGUUAAGUCAUGCGUUAGACACACGUUAAUCACACGCCAGAUGUGUCAUCCGCGUUUGAGAACGCUGAAAAAUAGAAAGACUGAAAUACUCAGAGGACGUUGACCAGAACGUCAUGGUGUGACGGAGCCUUUAGGAACUGAGGAACUGGGUGAUUCAUUCACUGAAUUUGUGAAUUGAGGAAUUGAAAAGUGAUUCGUAUCUGGGGAGGGUCUGAAGUGAAUUUAGCGAUUCGUUCACUGAACUGGUGUACUGAACAACUGAAGGGGGAAUCAUUCGCUUUUGAUUCGCCAAGAAUUGAUGUGCUAGUACAACAUGUGAUUUGUUUGCCAGAGGAAUGACAUACUACACAAUGAGUAUACUCAUGAGUGAUUUUAAGGGGAAGUCCUAACAUCCUCGCUGGGAUAGCUUUCACUAGCAGACAUUUCUUCAAGAUAAUGGCUAAUUUUGAGUCAGUCAAGCAAAAGAAAACCAGCACAUAUAUCUAAAAUAAGUUUAAAUUAAUCAUGGACAUCAUGGUGACACAGCUGUAGAGCAUCUGCCUCACAGUUCUGAGGACUGGGGUUCAAAUCCCAGUCCCGCCUCUGUGGGGUUUGCAUGUUCUCCCCCUGCAUGCAUGGAUUUUCUCUGGGCACUCUGGUUUCCUCCCACAUCCCAAAAACAUGCGCUUAAUUGGAGACUCUAAAUUGCCCAUCCGUGUGAUUGUGUGACUAUUGUCUGUCUCCAUGUGUUCUCAAUAUCUCAAUAUCUGUGUCUUUAAUGUGAUUAUCAAAUCCUUUUUAUUUCAUAAUAGUCAUAAUAAUAAUAAUAAUUCCUUAAACAUAUAGUAUUUCUCAAAACACAAAGACACUUUCCACUAUCCAGAUAACAAUAACAGUGAGUGAGUGAGCAGAAAACCACGGCGGGAGAUAUUGACAUCAAUGAUGCUACGCACCGAAAGCCUUGCUGGAAGUAAGCAGAUGCAGAAGGGUGCAAACCAACUCUUUCUAGGAUUUGGGAUAUUAUUUUGGCUCUACUGUGAUUGGCUGGUGACCAGUACAAGGUGUACCCAGCCUCUUGCCCAAAGGUAUACAGUAACUUGGAUAAGAUCAACCACAUCAAUGACCCAAUUGAGGGGAUACCCUGGACACCCUGCGGAGGAAACUCAUUUUGGCCGUUUGUAUCUGGGAUCUUGUUCUUUCGGUCACGACCCACAUCUGGUGCCCAUAGGUGAGAGUAGGAACUUAGAUCGACUGGUAAGUUGAGAGCUUCGCCUUUCGACUAUGGUCCCUUUUUACCACAACGGACUGAUACAAAGCCCGCAUCAAUGCAGAGACUGCACCAAUCCGCCAGUCAAUCUUGCGAUUCAUUCUGUCAUCCCUUGCGAAUAUGACCCCAAGAUAGGUGAACUCCUCCACUUGGGGUAGGAUCUCAUCGCUGACCUGGAAAAGGCAUGCCACCCUUUUCCGACUGAGGACAAUGGUCUCAGAUUAAGAGGUGCUGAUUUUCAUCCCAGCCGCUUUGCACUCAGCUGCGAACGCCUCCAGUGAGAGUUGGAAAACACGGCUUGAUUAAGCCAACAGAACCACAUUAUCUGCAAAAAGCAGAGAUGUAAUACUUGUGCCACCAGACUGGACUCCCUCAAUGCCUGGGCUGUUGCACAGGUGUGCUUUAGGCUGCCCACAAUAAAAAGCCACCCUGAAAUGUGCAAUUUUGCUUUAUAGUGUGUGUGCGUGGUGGUGGGUGGUUGGUUGGGGGGCAGAAAAGUAGUAAACGACCAGCAUUUGACUUGUGCAGUAAAACAAUUUCCUUCGCAUAGAGUUGGUCAGGUUGUUGAUUGUGGACAGCAUUUUCAGCAUUCCAAAUUGACGCUCACUCAUAACUUGUGACGUUGUCGGCAUUGUGUUGUGCGCUAAAACUGCACAUUUCAGAGUGACCUUUUAUUGUGGCCAUAUUAUGUCACACCUGUGCAAUAAUCAUGCUGUCAAAUCGUUGUGUCUUAAAAUUUCUCACCUGUAGGAUGGGAUGGACUUAUCUUGACAAAAGAGAAAUGCUCACUAACAGAUUUAGAUUUGAUUUAGAAUUUGUGAACAAUAUUUGAGGGAAAUGGGCUUUUGUGUUUGGAGAAAAAGUUUUAGAUCUUUGAGUCCAUCUCACAACAAAAGGGAGUAAAAACAAAAUUUUCACUUCCAUUUUUUUUCUCUGUGUAACAAUUCCAAAAUACUGCUACAAUAUGCAAAUUCGUGAAGACAACAAUAUUAAAGGCUUUGAAGCAAGCCAAAGGUAUGUAAAAUGGUUUUGAAACAAUUGAUCUAUUCCCACUUUCUACCAUCUAAUUUUAAAAAAUGAACAGUACUAUAUACAGUACACACAAUUAUAUAUUUCCCCACUUAGGGUAUCCAGACAGAAGCAGGCAUCACUCAGCACCUCACUGCAAGGCCAUUUGUACCACAGUACAGUAUGUACUUGUCCACAGCUAACCCAUAGUUUGCACUCUGUAAAUCAGAGAAAUGUGAGCCACAUCCUUGGGCUGACAGGAAAUUCUGUUUAAAUGACAUGUUUGAUAAAUGAGCAUGACAUCAUUCAUUAAAUAGAUCCUUUCCUUAUCUUCCUCCAUUCCCUUGUAAUCUCAACAGAAAGAUUAUUUUAGUCAAUCUUAAAUACAAUUAAUCUUUCUCUUCAACAUUCAUUUUUACACAUUUUAAAAGUAAAUGUCAAAACUAUCCAGUAGGCUCGUUCUGUCAAGCUUGUUCACAUAAGUGUUGCAUAGUCGCUGAAUGACUUCGAAGAAAUGAACAAAAGUACUAUAAAAUGGCAUGUUUGAACCAAAGUGCUACCAAGCAACAUGAGCGUUUCUGGGAUUGUAUAAACUCUGGGUGAAAGGCUUUACAGUAGUCUAAAACCAUUUAGGAUAGAAAACAUUUCCAAAUAAAUGCUUGAUAUAUGCAGAUUUCUACAUGAUGAGCUACAAAUUGAAAAGCAAUAAAAUCAUAUCUUUCAAAAAGAUUGCAUAAACCGAUUUUUUUUACUGCUUCACCGUCAUAAAGGUCAUGGGCAUGAUGGAGCCUAUCCCAGCUAUCUUCAGGCAGGCGGUGGGGUGCACCCUGAAUGGGUUGCCAUCCGAUCGCAGGACACAUAUAAUCAAAAAUCCAUUCGUACACCUAAAGGCAAUUUAGAGUCCCCAAUUAACCUAUCAUACAUGUUUUUGGAAUGUGGGAUGAAACCGGAGUGCUCGGAGAAAACCCACAUAGACACGGGGAGAACAUGCAAAAUCCAUACAGGUGGAGCUGCGAUUUGAACCCCAGUCCUCAGAACUGUGAGGCGGAUGCUCUCACUGGUCAGCUAACCCGUUGUCAUUACAUAAACCAUGUCCAUGCCCAUUUUCUAAGGCGCUUAUCCUCACAAGGGUCACGGGAGUGCCGGAGCCUAUACCAGCUAAUAUCGGGUGAAAGGCGGUCUACACCUUGAACUGGUUGCCAAUCAGUUGCAGGC
Molecule: long non-coding RNA, 3622 nt
Organism: Syngnathoides biaculeatus (alligator pipefish)
Lineage: Eukaryota; Metazoa; Chordata; Actinopteri; Syngnathiformes; Syngnathidae
Exons: 3
Source: RefSeq, a predicted model, not a curated record